This 185-nucleotide non-coding RNA is filed under the name Bacillus solimangrovi. The record is from RNAcentral. Lineage: Bacteria; Bacillati; Bacillota; Bacilli; Caryophanales; Bacillaceae.
UGAUAAACUGAUAGAUUAGGUGUCUGAUUGUAGACUUAAUAGGGAAUCUGGUGUAAAUCCAGAGCUGUCCCCGCAACUGUAAAUGCUGACGAAAUAAGCAUUGUACCACUGUCUUAUAUAGACGGGAAGGGCUUAAAGUAGAGUGAAGCAUAAGUCAGGAGACCUGCCUGUUCUAUAACGUAUUA